UUAGGAAUUUUGCGCAAUGGACGAAAGUCUGACGCAGCGACAUCGCGUGAGGGAUGACGGCCUUUGGGUUGUAAACCUCUUUUAUAGUGACAUGAAGUCAAAAUGAAUAAGCAACUACUAACUACGUGCCAGCAGUCGCGGUAAUACGUAGGUUGCAAGCGUUACCCGGUUUUACUGGGCGUAAAGCGUCUGUAGGUUGUUUUUUAAGUCUCAUUUCAAAGACUCCGACUCAAUCGGAGAAAGGGGUGGGAGACUGAAAGACUAGAGUUAUAUCGGGGUUACUGGAAUUGACUGUGUAGGGGUAAAAUCCGUGGAUACAGUUAAGAACACCAAGCGCGAAGGCGGGUAACUAGGUAUAUACUGACACUCAGAGACGAAAGCUAGGGGAAUCAAUCAGAUU
Molecule: ribosomal RNA, 400 nt
Filed under: uncultured bacterium
Lineage: Bacteria
Description: bacterial SSU rRNA
Rfam family: Bacterial small subunit ribosomal RNA
Source: RNAcentral